Molecule: ribosomal RNA, 500 nt
Filed under: uncultured Glomus
Lineage: Eukaryota; Fungi; Glomeromycota; Glomeromycetes; Glomerales; Glomeraceae
Description: SSU rRNA
Rfam family: Eukaryotic small subunit ribosomal RNA
Source: RNAcentral
AGCAGCCGCGGUAAUUCCAGCUCCAAUAGCGUAUAUUAAAGUUGUUGCAGUUAAAAAGCUCGUAGUUGAAUUUCGGGGUCAGUAGGUUGGUCGUGCCACUGGUAUGUACUGGCUUCACUGAUUCCUCCUUUCUGAUGAGCCGUAAUGCCAUUAAUUUGGUGUUGCGAGGAAUCUGGACUGUUACUUUGAAAAAUUAGAGUGUUUAAAGCAAGCUAACGCUUGAAUACAUUAGCAUGGAAUAAUGAAAUAGGACGUUUGAUCCUAUUUUGUUGGUUUCUAGGAUCGACGUAAUGAUUAAUAGGGAUAGUUGGGGGCAUUAGUAUUCAAUUGUCAGAGGUGAAAUUCUUGGAUUUAUUGAAGACUAACUACUGCGAAAGCAUUUGCCAAGGAUGUUUUCAUUAAUCAAGAACGAAAGUUAGGGGAUCGAAGACGAUCAGAUACCGUCGUAGUCUUAACCAUAAACUAUGCCGACUAGGGAUCGGAUGAUGUAUUUUUAAUGA